Molecule: ribosomal RNA, 318 nt
Filed under: uncultured soil bacterium
Lineage: Bacteria
Description: bacterial SSU rRNA
Rfam family: Bacterial small subunit ribosomal RNA
Source: RNAcentral
AGGAUAAACGCUGGCGGCGUGCAUUAGACAUGCAAGUCGAACGGACUUCUCGGGCUUGCUCGAGAAGUUAGUGGCGGACGGCUGAGUAACGCGUAGGUGACCUAUCCCGAAGUGGGGAAUAACUGCCCGAAAGGGUGGCUAAUACCGCAUGUGAUCGUCUGUUCAUUCGAACGAUCAAAGCCGCAAGGCGCUUUGGGAGGGCCUGCGUCCGAUUAGCUCGUUGGUGGGGUAAUGGCUCACCAAGGCGACGAUCGGUAGGUGGUCUGAGAGGACGAUCACCCAGACUGGGACUGAGACACGGCCCAGACUCCGUACGGG